UACGUAGGGUGCGAGCGUUAAUCGGAAUUACUGGGCGUAAAGCGUGCGCAGGCGGUUUGUUAAGACAGAUGUGAAAUCCCCGGGCUUAACCUGGGAACUGCAUUUGUGACUGGCAAGCUAGAGUAUGGCAGAGGGGGGGUAGAAUUCCACGUGUAGCAGUGAAAUGCGUAGAGAUGUGGAGGAACACCGAUGGCGAAGGCAGCCCCCCUGGGUCAAGAUUGACGCUCAUGCACGAAAGCAUGGGGAGCGAACAGG
RNAcentral lists this ribosomal RNA (255 nucleotides) under uncultured bacterium. Its description in RNAcentral is "partial 16S ribosomal RNA". It matches the Rfam family "Bacterial small subunit ribosomal RNA", at positions 524 to 776 of the family's 1533-position model. The record is from RNAcentral.